MicroRNA precursor from Oryza rufipogon (brownbeard rice), 205 nucleotides. It matches the Rfam family "MIR812 microRNA precursor family". The record is from Rfam. NCBI's taxonomy places the organism in Eukaryota, Viridiplantae, Streptophyta, Magnoliopsida, Poales, Poaceae.
UUUAAGUGCAACCAUAAGUUUUAACGUCCAACUUUGAUCGUCCAUCUUAUUUGAAAAUUUUUUAUAAUUAGUAUUUUUGUUGUUAUGAGAUGAUAAGACAUAAAUAAUACUUUACUCGUGACUUAUGUUUUUAAUUUUUUUAAAAAAAUUUUGAAACAAAACGAACGGUUAAAGUUGGACGCGAAAAACCAUAACUGCACUUAAA